This 404-nucleotide ribosomal RNA is filed under the name uncultured bacterium. RNAcentral describes it as "bacterial SSU rRNA". It matches the Rfam family "Bacterial small subunit ribosomal RNA", at positions 917 to 1322 of the family's 1533-position model. The record is from RNAcentral.
GGGCCCGCACAAGCGGCGGAGCAUGCGGAUUAAUUCGAUGCAACGCGAAGAACCUUACCAGGGUUUGACAUCCUGCGAAUCUCUUGGAAACUUGAGAGUGCCUUCGGGAGCGCAGUGACAGGUGGUGCAUGGCUGUCGUCAGCUCGUGUCGUGAGAUGUUGGGUUAAGUCCCGCAACGAGCGCAACCCACGUCUUUAGUUGCCAGCAUUUAGUUGGGCACUCUAGAGAGACCGCCGGUGAUAAACCGGAGGAAGGUGUGGAUGACGUCAAGUCAUCAUGCCCCUUACAUCCUGGGCUACACACGUACUACAAUGCUACGGACAAAGGGCAGCAAACUCGCGAGAGCUAGCAAAUCCCAUAAACCGUGGCUCAGUUCAGAUCGUAGGCUGCAACUCGCCUACGUG